CCUACGGGGGGCAGCAGUGGGGGAUAUUGCACAAUGGGGGGAACCCUGAUGCAGCGACGCCGCGUGGGUGAAGAAGCGCCUCGGCGCGUAAAGCCCUGUCAGCAGGGAAGAAAAUGACGGUACCUGAAGAAGAAGCCCCGGCUAACUACGUGCCAGCAGCCGCGGUAAUACGUAGGGGGCAAGCGUUAUCCGGAUUUACUGGGUGUAAAGGGGGCGCAGACGGGGAUGCAAGCCCGGAGGGAAAGCCCGGGGCUCAACCCCGGGACUGCUCUUGGAACUGCGUGGCUGGAGUGCAGGAGGGGCAGGCGGAAUGCCUGGUGGAGCGGUGAAAUGCGUAGAUAUCAGGAGGAACACCGGUGGCGAAGGCGGCCUGCUGGACUGCAACUGACGUUGAGGCCCGAAAGCGUGGGGAGCAAACAGGAUUAGAUACCCGUGUAGUC
RNAcentral lists this ribosomal RNA (440 nucleotides) under uncultured bacterium. RNAcentral describes it as "partial 16S ribosomal RNA". It matches the Rfam family "Bacterial small subunit ribosomal RNA", at positions 338 to 795 of the family's 1533-position model. The record is from RNAcentral.